Molecule: ribosomal RNA, 458 nt
Filed under: uncultured bacterium
Lineage: Bacteria
Description: partial 16S ribosomal RNA
Rfam family: Bacterial small subunit ribosomal RNA
Source: RNAcentral
CCUACGGGUGGCAGCAGUGAGGAAUCUUGGUCAAUGGGCGAGAGCCUGAACCAGCCAAGUCGCGUGAGGGAGUACUGCUCUAUGGGUUGUAAACCUCUUUUGUCGGGGAGCAAAAGCCGGACGUGUUAGGCCGUGAGAGUACCCGAAGAAAAAGCGUCGCAAAACCCCGUGCCAGCCGCCGCGGUAAUACGGAGUAUGCGAGGGUUAUCCGGAUUUAUUGGGUUAAAGGGGUGCGCAGGCGGUUUUUAAAGUCAGCGGGAAAAUCGUGGGGCUCAACCCCAUCCAGCCUAUGAAACUGGGGAACUAGAGUGUGGGAGAGGUAUGCGGAAUGCGUGGUGUAGCGGUGAAAUGCAUAGAUAUCACGCAGAACCCCGAUUGCGAAGGCAGCUUACCGGUGCACAACUGACGCUGAGGCACGAAGGCGUGGGUAGCGAACAGGAUUAGAUACCCUAGUAGUC